GUCCUCAUGGCCCUUAUGGGUAGGGCUUCACACGUCAUACAAUGGUCGGUACAGAGGGUUGCCAACCCGCGAGGGGGAGCUAAUCCCACAAAGCCGAUCGUAGUCCGGAUCGCAGUCUGCAACUCGACUGCGUGAAGUCGGAAUCGCUAGUAAUCGUGGAUCAGCAUGUCACGGUGAAUACGUUCCCGGGUCUU
RNAcentral lists this ribosomal RNA (194 nucleotides) under uncultured Rhodocyclaceae bacterium. RNAcentral describes it as "partial 16S ribosomal RNA". It matches the Rfam family "Bacterial small subunit ribosomal RNA", at positions 1189 to 1382 of the family's 1533-position model. The record is from RNAcentral. Lineage: Bacteria; Pseudomonadati; Pseudomonadota; Betaproteobacteria; Rhodocyclales; Rhodocyclaceae.